GGGGGCGUAGCUCAACUGGAUAGAGCGCGGGACUACGGAUCCCGAGGUUGCGGGUUCGACUCCCGCCGCCCUCGCCA
This 77-nucleotide transfer RNA is filed under the name Aquifex aeolicus. RNAcentral describes it as "tRNA-Arg". It matches the Rfam family "tRNA". From Rfam's summary of the family: Transfer RNA (tRNA) molecules are approximately 80 nucleotides in length. Their secondary structure includes four short double-helical elements and three loops (D, anti-codon, and T loops). Further hydrogen bonds mediate the characteristic L-shaped molecular structure. tRNAs have two regions of fundamental functional importance: the anti-codon, which is responsible for specific mRNA codon recognition, and the 3' end, to which the tRNAs corresponding amino acid is attached (by aminoacyl-tRNA synthetases). tRNAs cope with the degeneracy of the genetic code in two manners: having more than one tRNA (with a specific anti-codon) for a particular amino acid; and 'wobble' base-pairing, i.e. permitting non-standard base-pairing at the 3rd anti-codon position. Lineage: Bacteria; Pseudomonadati; Aquificota; Aquificia; Aquificales; Aquificaceae. The record is from RNAcentral. RNAcentral also lists the same sequence under 2 other names.